Molecule: long non-coding RNA, 2421 nt
Filed under: Hordeum vulgare
Lineage: Eukaryota; Viridiplantae; Streptophyta; Magnoliopsida; Poales; Poaceae
Description: long non-coding RNA (HVUL_LNC008036)
Source: RNAcentral
AAAUUUUAGGGUGGUUCAUAGCUGCUGUUCAGGUCACUUCUUUAUAGGUUUACACUUGUUUCAUCCAUGCAUAUUUGUGCAGGAAGUAUUAUGUAGAACACAGGAGAAGGGGCACAAUCAUCCCAGCUUGUUCGCAAACAGGCUCAUUUCAUUAGUUUUGCAAAGAUGUGAGUCUGACUUUUUCUUCUAAAAGUACUAAUUCAGUUCAGUGGGAAAGAUUAGUUGUGUGGUUGACUGAGUAGCAUAGAACUUGCAAAAAUAUUCUUCUGUCGCACUCACACACGUCUCUUGCUGGAGUCAGAAAACUCAGUCGUUGCUCGAUUUGUAAGUAACUAACUCUAUGGCACAGCAGGGCAUGUAAGAAAUUACCUAGUUUAUCAUUAGAAAAUCAUUUUAACUGGAGUAGCUGGGUAAUGCGGUGGCUGGAAGCUGAGUACACGGAGACUAUUAAGGUGAGGUGGGAAACAAAUUCUGCAGAUUGAUUUUCCUAGGCACUUGUCCUUGGAGGAACUGUGUGAUGCCUGGUAUACACACCUGCGUGAAACUUACUUCUUUGGUCCAAGUCCUUCUCCAUGAAAAUUUAUAGCUGCUACGUGAUCUCAAACAACUCCUCGCUGUUAUCAUUUCUCUCAGGUUCUAGGUUAGAGAAGCUGCAAAAUUGUGGCUCAUACAAUCGUAUCCUAGCCUGCACCCAUACACAUGCCCAUGGAGUCAUGGGUCUGGUUAGCAACGAACGAACUCAUAGGUGAGUUCGAUCAACUCACCCGGCAGCGUGGACUUUGGUAUAGGUCAACGUUUUUCUUUGGGUGGAAAAGAUCAAUGUUGUACACGUCCGGGACAUAUAUAGUAGACGUAUUGGACCUGAGAAAGCUAGACGUGGUGGGCGUGGAUAGCUAGCAGCUAGACGUGGUGGAUCUUAGACUCAUGACAUUAUUUGGAAUAUUAAUCCGGGUUCACCAAGUUUACAUUGUAAAAAAGAUCUAACGGACCUGACUGCUCUAUAACAAAAGAUAUACAAGAUCUAAGCUGGUAUUUUCUAAUUAUUGUACGAUUUUUUAGAAUAUUCCUCUAUAUUUCACCCGUAUUUGUCUUUUAGUAUAUAAUAGAAUAGAUAGAUAGAUAGAUAGAUAGUUGUAUGUUUGAUAAUUGUUGAUGAUAUCUUAUGGUUGCAAAAGAAAUGUAUCUUUGGGCAAAAUGUCCACAUUCUUACAUAGGUCCAUUGUUGUCCCCUUCAUAGCCCGUUGGUUCUAUUUUCAUUAUAUAUCUUUUUUGUUCUAAGUGUUAAUUGUUGAGUGUCAACAAUAUGUGGAUAUUGUUCUUCAGGUUAUCAUGGCUGAAACUUGGGCAAAACUAUGGGCAUACAAAAUACAUAUUUGUUUUUGUUGCCUUAUAAACAUGGUUGUGAACGGACUGAAUAUUGGCAAACAGCUAUAUAUCCGUUCUCACUUACUUUGUUGUUUCUGAAAGUGAAAGGGACAAGUUAUCAAAAAAAAAGUGAAAGGGACAAAGGAUAGCGCAGAGAGCAGAUAACACAUGGGGUAUGUUGAUAUUUUUGGUCGAAUUUACAGUCCAUUAGCUGUCAUAAAUAUAUCACAACUAGCAUGCAUACAUCCUGACAACAUUGAUGAAGAUAUGCUUGAUAACUACUCCCUUCGUCCUAUAAUAUAGGAUUUUUUUGACACUAACGGAGGGAGUAACUAACAAGAUCUGAUUAUUCGUUUCAUAAAUGUUUACAAGAAAUAAGUAAGGAAUAUAGACUAAAUUUGUAGUUCUUGUGCAAGCUGAUGAAGUUUUCUAUACCUGUAGAAGCUUUGUUCCUACUAUUCUCACCUUGUACACAUAUAUAGCAUUGUUCCUACUAUUGUAACCUUGUAUACAUACAUACUGGUUCGUUUUUUUUGUGAGAAAAGGUUCAUUUGAUUAUUGCUUCUUGUUAGAAAUAAUGGUACUAUUCUGGUCAAGUGGGCACCUUGUAUACAUAUAUGCUUUUCUGUCUAUCCUUGAACUAAUACAAAAGAAGCAUGAUCAUUUCAAGAUGCACUUUCGCGAAGGAAACCGACAAACUAUAUCAUAUUUUCCUUUGGGAGCUGUCUCUUAUGCAGUGUAAUUCUUUGUGCUUUGGAUUCUUUGCAGGUUUGGCAGUUAGUUCGUGUUACUAUCGACCAAGGCUUUUUAGCAGGAAUUACUUGGGUCUGAAAAGCUUCCUGGAAGUGGUGGUCUAGUGUUGGAGAUUAAAAUCAUGUAGUAGUGCAGUUUCAAUGAUGUUAUGUUACUUGAUUUUUAUUAAAUGCUUAUGCUUAUGGCACCUUGUAAAUAUGCUUGUAAUGUUUCGAUAUUAAUUUUGCUUUUUGAAAUCAGACCAGAUUGUUGGGAAUUUGUAUUGUCUUGUUGAAUGAAUAUAAUUGCAUGUCUUGUUGUAAA